Non-coding RNA from Caenorhabditis elegans, 150 nucleotides. The record is from Ensembl. Lineage: Eukaryota; Metazoa; Nematoda; Chromadorea; Rhabditida; Rhabditidae.
GGAGUAUCGAGAAUAUAGAAAUAACAACCACUGAAAAGAAAAACCAGGAACUCAUUUUUACCCAAAAUCGAUGAAGAAGUAAAAGGUGAGUGACCUGGCAAGUAAAUGGUUGAGUUGGUCAAACAAUGUGCCAAAGAAGAUUGACCCGAG